AUUGAACGCUAGCGGGAGGCCUUACACAUGCAAGUCGAACGGCAGCGCGGACUUCGGUCUGGCGGCGAGUGGCGAACGGGUGAGUAAUGUAUCGGAACGUGCCCAGUAGCGGGGGACAACCACUCGAAAGAGUGGCUAAUACCGCAUACGCCCUACGGGGAAAGGGGGGAGUCGCAAGACCUCUCACUAUUGGAGUGGCCGAUAUCGGAUUAGCUAGUUGGUGGGGUAAAGGCCUACCAAGGCGACGAUCCGUAGCUGGUUUGAGAGGACGACCAGCCACACUGGGACUGAGACACGGCCCAGACUCCUACGGGAGGCAGCAGUGGGGAAUUUUGGACAAUGGGGGAAACCCUGAUCCAGCCAUUCCGCGUGUGCGAUGAAGGCCUUCGGGUUGGUUAAAGCGACUUUUGGCUAGGAAAGAAAUACGUGUGGGUUAAG
This 438-nucleotide ribosomal RNA is filed under the name uncultured bacterium. Its description in RNAcentral is "bacterial SSU rRNA". It matches the Rfam family "Bacterial small subunit ribosomal RNA", at positions 30 to 465 of the family's 1533-position model. The record is from RNAcentral.